RNAcentral lists this ribosomal RNA (294 nucleotides) under uncultured Blastocystis sp. RNAcentral's name for it is "partial small subunit ribosomal RNA". It matches the Rfam family "Eukaryotic small subunit ribosomal RNA", at positions 54 to 369 of the family's 1831-position model. The record is from RNAcentral. Lineage: Eukaryota; Bigyra; Opalinata; Blastocystidae.
GGGAUUACCUCCGAACGUAGAUCUCUAGUUUUAGUGUGAACUGCGAAUGGCUCAUUAUAUCAGUUAUAGUUUAUUUGGAUGAAUUUUUCUAUGGAUAACCGUAGUAAUUCUAGGGCUAAUACAUGUUAUAAUCUCUUUGAGAUUUUCUUAUUAGAAUAAAACCAAUUGUAUUAGUGAGUAAUAAUAAUAGAAUCGAUCGCAUGCUUUUGUAGCGAUAAUCCUUUCAAGUUUCUGCCCUAUCAGCUUUCGAUGGUAGUGUAUUGGACUACCAUGGCAGUAACGGGUAACGAAGAA